CUAUCUUCCACUCCCUUCAUCAGGAUCAUAAGGAGAUAUUUCUUGAACUCUAACUAUGCAGCAUUCCCAGAAGGAAAGUUUCGUGAGAGGGGAGAUGAUAAGUCUGUACUAUGCCAGACAUUUCCCACUCUCACACUUGUCUACUUAGUUUCCAACAACUGAACUUACAGAAGUUUCUGCCCCAGGGCUUCUAUACAACACAAAAGAAUCUAGACCUCCUAUGCUUCAGCGGUAAUAAUAAUGGUAAUUACUGCUUGAAUAUCUGUGCCAUAGAGAUUCUCCUCUGCUACCCAUACAGUGAAGAACAGAGUUAGUAUGUGUUUUUCUUCAUGGAAUACUUUCAUCAAUUCUGAAGCCAAGAUUGACUUCCCUGUGCCAUUUAUACACGCUACCAUAUACCACUGGUAUUAAAGGAUCACAAAUUAUACACGCUACCAUAUA
Long non-coding RNA from Mustela lutreola (European mink), 441 nucleotides. RefSeq lists it as uncharacterized. The transcript has 3 exons. The record is from RefSeq and is a predicted model, not a curated record. NCBI's taxonomy places the organism in Eukaryota, Metazoa, Chordata, Mammalia, Carnivora, Mustelidae.